RNAcentral lists this transfer RNA (77 nucleotides) under Campylobacter jejuni. Its description in RNAcentral is "tRNA-Arg". It matches the Rfam family "tRNA". Rfam says of the family: Transfer RNA (tRNA) molecules are approximately 80 nucleotides in length. Their secondary structure includes four short double-helical elements and three loops (D, anti-codon, and T loops). Lineage: Bacteria; Pseudomonadati; Campylobacterota; Epsilonproteobacteria; Campylobacterales; Campylobacteraceae. The record is from RNAcentral.
GCGCUCAUAGCUAAGCUGGAUAGAGCAUUUGAUUGCGGUUCAAAAGGCCAGAGGUUCGAAUCCUCUUGAGCGCACCA